Molecule: ribosomal RNA, 1490 nt
Filed under: uncultured bacterium
Lineage: Bacteria
Description: bacterial SSU rRNA
Rfam family: Bacterial small subunit ribosomal RNA
Source: RNAcentral
GGUUUGAUCAUGGCUCAGGAUGAACGCUAGCUACAGGCUUAACACAUGCAAGUCGUGGGGCAGCAUGGGAGAUGCUUGCAUUUCCUGAUGGCGACCGGCGCACGGGUGAGUAACGCGUAUCCAACCUGCCCUUUACUCCGGCACAGCCCGUCGAAAGGCGGAUUAAUGCGGGAUGCAGUCAGAGAGAUGCAUAUAUGUCUGACGAAAGGAAUUGUCCGGUAAGGGAUGGGGAUGCGUCCGAUUAGCUUGACGGCGGGGUAACGGCCCACCGUGGCUACGAUCGGUAGGGGUUCUGAGAGGAAGGUCCCCCACAUUGGAACUGAGACACGGUCCAAACUCCUACGGGAGGCAGCAGUGAGGAAUAUUGGUCAAUGGGCGAGAGCCUGAACCAGCCAAGUAGCGUGCAGGAAGACGGCCCUAUGGGUUGUAAACUGCUUUUGUACGGGAAUAAAGUUGGCCACGUGUGACCAUUUGCAUGUACCGUACGAAUAAGGACCGGCUAAUUCCGUGCCAGCAGCCGCGGUAAUACGGAAGGUCCGGGCGUUAUCCGGAUUUAUUGGGUUUAAAGGGAGCGUAGGCCGUCUCAAAAGCGUGUUGUGAAAUGUCCCGGCUCAACCGGGGAUGUGCAGCGCGAACUGUGAGACUUGAGUGUGCGGAAGGUAUGCGGAAUUCGUGGUGUAGCGGUGAAAUGCAUAGAUAUCACGAAGAACUCCGAUUGCGAAGGCAGCAUGCCGCAGCACCACUGACGCUGAUGCUCGAAGGUGCGGGUAUCGAACAGGAUUAGAUACCCUGGUAGUCCGCACAGUAAACGAUGGAUGCUCGCUGUGAGUCAGUUGUGAUUUGCGGCCAAGCGAAAGCGUUAAGCAUCCCACCUGGGGAGUACGCCGGCAACGGUGAAACUCAAAGGAAUUGACGGGGGCCCGCACAAGCGGAGGAACAUGUGGUUUAAUUCGAUGAUACGCGAGGAACCUUACCCGGGCUUGAAUUGCAGGUGCAUGGACAAGAGAUUGUCCUUUCCUUCGGGACUCCUGUGAAGGUGCUGCAUGGUUGUCGUCAGCUCGUGCCGUGAGGUGUCGGCUUAAGUGCCAUAACGAGCGCAACCCCUCUCCGUAGUUGCCAUCGGUUCGGCCGGGCACUCUGCGGACACUGCCUCCGCAAGGAGUGAGGAAGGUGGGGAUGACGUCAAAUCAGCACGGCCCUUACGUCCGGGGCUACACACGUGUUACAAUGGGGCAUACAGAGAGCAGGGUGUACGCAAGUGCAUUCAAAUCAAGAAAGUGCCUCUCAGUUCGGACUGGGGUCUGCAACCCGACCCCACGAAGCUGGAUUCGCUAGUAAUCGCGCAUCAGCCAUGGCGCGGUGAAUACGUUCCCGGGCCUUGUACACACCGCCCGUCAAGCCAUGAAAGCCGGGGGCGCCUGAAGUCCGUGACCGCGAGGGUCGGCCUAGGGUGAAACCGGUGAUUGGGGCUAAGUCGUAACAAGGUAGCC